GGAGGGGUGGCUGAGUGGUCGAAAGCACCGGUCUUGAAAACCGACGAGUCGAGAGGCUCCCAGGGUUCGAAUCCCUGCCCCUCCGCCA
This 88-nucleotide transfer RNA is filed under the name Marinobacterium maritimum. Its description in RNAcentral is "tRNA-Ser". It matches the Rfam family "tRNA". Rfam says of the family: Transfer RNA (tRNA) molecules are approximately 80 nucleotides in length. Their secondary structure includes four short double-helical elements and three loops (D, anti-codon, and T loops). RNAcentral also lists the same sequence under 4 other names. Lineage: Bacteria; Pseudomonadati; Pseudomonadota; Gammaproteobacteria; Oceanospirillales; Oceanospirillaceae. The record is from RNAcentral.